GAUGAACGCUAGCGGGAGGCUUAACACAUGCAAGUCGAGGGGCAGCAUAGGGUAGCAAUACUCUGAUGGCGACCGGCAAACGGGUGAGUAACGCGUAUGCAACCUACCCUGUACAGGGGGAUAACCCGGAGAAAUUCGGACUAAUAUCCCGUAAUAAUAUCCGGAGGCAUCUUUGGAUAUUUAAAGCUCUGGCGGUACAGGAUGGGCAUGCGCGACAUUAGCUAGUUGGUAAGGUAACGGCUUACCAAGGCGACGAUGUUUAGGGGACCUGAGAGGGUUGUCCCCCACACUGGUACUGAGACACGGACCAGACUCCUACGGGAGGCAGCAGUGAGGAAUAUUGGUCAAUGGGCGCAAGCCUGAACCAGCCAUCCCGCGUGAAGGAAGAAUGCGCUACGCGUUGUAAACUUCUUUUCCAGGGGAGAAUAAUCCUGUCGUGACAGGACUUGACGGUACUCUGGGAAUAAGCAUCGGCUAACUCCGUGCCAGCAGCCGACGGUAAAAGUGUG
RNAcentral lists this ribosomal RNA (509 nucleotides) under uncultured bacterium. RNAcentral describes it as "bacterial SSU rRNA". It matches the Rfam family "Bacterial small subunit ribosomal RNA", at positions 28 to 530 of the family's 1533-position model. The record is from RNAcentral.